RNAcentral lists this transfer RNA (68 nucleotides) under Asobara japonica. RNAcentral's name for it is "tRNA-Ile". Lineage: Eukaryota; Metazoa; Arthropoda; Insecta; Hymenoptera; Braconidae. The record is from RNAcentral.
AAAUGAAGUGCCUGAAAUUAAAGGAUUAUUUUGAUGUAAUAAAUAAUGUUAUGCCCCAACCUCAUUUA